GGAGAGGUCGCAUAGUGGCCUAGUGCAGCGGUUUACUAAACCGCCGUCCUUCACCGGACCGAGAGUUCGAAUCUCUCCCUCUCCG
This 85-nucleotide transfer RNA is filed under the name Candidatus Levyibacteriota bacterium. RNAcentral describes it as "tRNA-Ser". It matches the Rfam family "tRNA". From Rfam's summary of the family: Transfer RNA (tRNA) molecules are approximately 80 nucleotides in length. Their secondary structure includes four short double-helical elements and three loops (D, anti-codon, and T loops). The record is from RNAcentral. Lineage: Bacteria; Candidatus Levyibacteriota.